CAAAGAAUAGUUUAUAAAAAUAUUAAUUUUGGAGAUUAAUGAUAGAGGUAAAUCUCUUUCUUUGA
This 65-nucleotide transfer RNA is filed under the name Leconectes striatellus. RNAcentral's name for it is "tRNA-Pro". The record is from RNAcentral. Lineage: Eukaryota; Metazoa; Arthropoda; Insecta; Coleoptera; Dytiscidae.